AAAAUAAUUUUGGUUAUUUGGCUCUGGUAAGUUGUUGGCGUUUUCUAGGUUUACACAUGGUGUUUAUUGAGUGUUGGGAGUUGUCUAGUUGCUGAUGGAUUUUUAAAUAAUAUCUUUAAGUGAUUUAGAAAGUUCGUUUAGCUGGGUUGUUGAAUGUAUGAAAAAAUCCCCGUAUCUCCAGUGUUUAAUAUUAAGGUUUGAAUCGUGGAAACACGGCUUUAGCUAAGAAAAAAAAAGAAGGAAAUAAAGUGCCAGCACCUGCGGUCAAACUUUUUGCUUUAAGUCGGUAUUUUCGUAUAGCGAAAAGUUAGUGAAGUUUGGGUUGAUUUUUGUCUGUUAAAUUGGUAAAAUAUUCAUAGACGAUUGUUCUUAAUCCCUAAAAUUAGUUUUUUUGGAGUCUGAAAAAUGGACCAGGAUUAGAGACCCUGUUACUUAAGAUGUAAAGUUCAAGCUACGGGGACUACGAGCAUAGAUGCUUAAAACCCAAAGAGCUUGGCGGUUUCUCAUACCCAUUUAGGGGAACUUGGCGAUUAAACCGAUAAACCACGAUUUUAUUGUACUCUUUUAUUUCUUAACAUACCGCCGUUGUCAAUCCACCCUGGAAGGAAAUGAUGGGGGUUUAUGUAGUUGGUAUAACUAUUGAAUUCAGGUAGACGUGUUGGUUAAAAAGGAGGUUUAGCUGAGUUACAAUUGAUAGUCAAUACGAAUUUUUUUUUGAAAUAAAAAAAUGAAGGUGUACUUAAAAGUAAGUUUUUUGUGAGUUUUUGGAGCUGAAUUGAGUAAUUGAGUUGUGUACAAAUUGCCCGGCACCCUCGUAUAUUUAAGAUGAGGUAAGUCGUAACAUAGUAAUACUACCAGAAGGUGGUGUUUUAUAAG
RNAcentral lists this non-coding RNA (876 nucleotides) under Solen grandis (grand razor shell). The record is from RNAcentral. Lineage: Eukaryota; Metazoa; Mollusca; Bivalvia; Adapedonta; Solenidae.